Molecule: transfer RNA, 72 nt
Filed under: Camelus bactrianus (Bactrian camel)
Lineage: Eukaryota; Metazoa; Chordata; Mammalia; Artiodactyla; Camelidae
Also listed under: 2 other names
Rfam family: tRNA
About the family: Transfer RNA (tRNA) molecules are approximately 80 nucleotides in length. Their secondary structure includes four short double-helical elements and three loops (D, anti-codon, and T loops).
Source: Rfam by way of RNAcentral
AGGGUAAUAGCUCAGUGGCAGAGCACAUGAUUAGCAUGCACGAGGCCAUGGGUUCAAUCCCCAGUAACUCCA